Molecule: ribosomal RNA, 529 nt
Filed under: uncultured bacterium
Lineage: Bacteria
Description: bacterial SSU rRNA
Rfam family: Bacterial small subunit ribosomal RNA
Source: RNAcentral
UUGACAUACUAAGAACUUUCCAGAGAUGGAUUGGUCGCCUUCGGGAACUUAGAUACAGGUGCUGCAUGGCUGUCGUCAGCUCGUGUCGUGAGAUGUUGGGUUAAGUCCCGNAACGAGCGCAACCCUUUUCCUAUUUGCCAGCGGGUCAUGCCGGGAACUUUAAGGAUACUGCCAGUGACAAACUGGAGGAAGGCGGGGACGACGUCAAGUCAUCAUGGCCCUUACGGCCAGGGCUACACACGUGCUACAAUGGUCGGUACAAAGGGUUGCUACCUCGCGAGAGGAUGCUAAUCUCAAAAAGCCGAUCGUAGUCCGGAUCGCAGUCUGCAACUCGACUGCGUGAAGUCGGAAUCGCUAGUAAUCGCGGAUCAGAAUGCCGCGGUGAAUACGUUCCCGGGCCUUGUACACACCGCCCGUCACACCAUGGGAGUUUGUUGCACCAGAAGUAGGUAGUCUAACCGCAAGGAGGACGCUUACCACGGUGUGGCCGAUGACUGGGGUGAAGUCGUAACAAGGUAGGCGUAGAUGA